Molecule: ribosomal RNA, 581 nt
Filed under: Psychromonas sp.
Lineage: Bacteria; Pseudomonadati; Pseudomonadota; Gammaproteobacteria; Alteromonadales; Psychromonadaceae
Description: bacterial SSU rRNA
Rfam family: Bacterial small subunit ribosomal RNA
Source: RNAcentral
CAGCAGUGGGGAUAUUGCACAAUGGGCGCAAGCCUGAUGCAGCCAUGCCGCGUGUGUGAAGAAGGCUUUCGGGUUGUAAAGCACUUUCAGCGAGGAGGAAAGGUUGUACUUUAAUAGAGUGCAGCUGUGACGUUACUCGCAGAAGAAGCACCGGCUAACUCCGUGCCAGCAGCCGCGGUAAUACGGAGGGUGCGAGCGUUAAUCGGAAUUACUGGGCGUAAAGCGCGCGUAGGCGGUUAAUUAAGUCAGAUGUGAAAUCCCAGGGCUCAACCUUGGAACUGCAUUUGAAACUGGUUAACUAGAGUUUUGUAGAGGGUGGUAGAAUUUCAGGUGUAGCGGUGAAAUGCGUAGAGAUCUGAAGGAAUACCAGUGGCGAAGGCGGCCACCUGGACAAAGACUGACGCUGAGGCGCGAAGGCGUGGGGAGCAAACGGGAUUAGAUACCCCGGUAGUCCACGCAGUAAACGAUGUCUAUUAGAAUUUUGUGGCUAUAUGCCGUGGGAUUCAAAGCUAACGCAUUAAAUAGACCGCCUGGGGAGUACGGCCGCAAGGUUAAAACUCAAAUGAAUUGACGGGGCCCCG